This 253-nucleotide ribosomal RNA is filed under the name uncultured bacterium. RNAcentral describes it as "partial 16S ribosomal RNA". It matches the Rfam family "Bacterial small subunit ribosomal RNA", at positions 524 to 776 of the family's 1533-position model. The record is from RNAcentral.
AACGUAGGAGGCGAGCGUUAUCCGGAUUUACUGGGUGUAAAGCGCGUGCAGGCGGUAGGCUAAGUUGGGUGUGAAAGCUCCUGGCUCAACUGGGAGAGGUCGCUCAAGACUGGCCAACUGGAGAGCAGUAAGGGAAGGUGGAAUUCCGGGUGUAGUGGUGAAAUGCGUAGAUAUCCGGAGGAACACCAGUGGCGAAAGCGGCCUUCUGGACUGCAUCUGACGCUCAGACGCGAAAGCUAGGGGAGCAAACGGG